ACGGGAGGCAGCAGUGGGGAAUAUUGGGCAAUGGGCGCAAGCCUGACCCAGCAACGCCGCGCGAAGGAUGAAGGUCUUCGGAUUGUAAACUUCUUUAAUCGGGGAAGAAAAAAAUGACCUACCCGAAGAAUAAGCCACGGCUAACUACGUGCCAGCAGCCGCGGUAAUACGUAGGGGGCAAGCGUUGUCCGGAAUGAUUGGGCGUAAAGGGCGCGUAGGCGGGGAUGCAAGUCAGAUGUGAAAUCCAUGGGCUCAACUCAUGAACUGCAUUUGAAACUGUAUCUCUUGAGUGCUGGAGAGGUAGAUGGAAUUCCUAGUGUAGCGGUGAAAUGCGUAGAUAUUAGGAAGAACACCAGUGGCGAAGGCGAUCUACUGGACAGUAACUGACGCUGAGGCGCGAAAGCGUGGGGAGCAAACAGGAUUAGAUACCCUGGUA
Molecule: ribosomal RNA, 436 nt
Filed under: uncultured Oscillospiraceae bacterium
Lineage: Bacteria; Bacillati; Bacillota; Clostridia; Eubacteriales; Oscillospiraceae
Description: bacterial SSU rRNA
Rfam family: Bacterial small subunit ribosomal RNA
Source: RNAcentral